CGGCGGACGGGUGAGUAAUGUAUGGGGAUCUGCCUGAUGGCGGGGGAUAACUACUGGAAACGGUAGCUAAUACCGCAUAAUGUCUACGGACCAAAGCGGGGGACCUCCGGGCCUCGCGCCAUCAGAUGAACCCAUAUGGGAUUAGCUAGUAGGUAAGGUAACGGCUUACCUAGGCGACGAUCCCUAGCUGGUCUGAGAGGAUGAUCAGCCACACUGGGACUGAGACACGGCCCAG
RNAcentral lists this ribosomal RNA (235 nucleotides) under uncultured bacterium. RNAcentral's name for it is "partial 16S ribosomal RNA". It matches the Rfam family "Bacterial small subunit ribosomal RNA", at positions 96 to 334 of the family's 1533-position model. The record is from RNAcentral.